UACGGAAGGCAGCAGUGGGGAAUAUUGCACAAUGGGCGCAAGCCUGAUGCAGCCAUGCCGCGUGUAUGAAGAAGGCCUUCGGGUUGUAAAGUACUUUCAGUCGUGAGGAAGGUGUUAAGGUUAAUAACCUUAGCAAUUGACGUUAGCGACAGAAGAAGCACCGGCUAACUCCGUGCCAGCAGCCGCGGUAAUACGGAGGGUGCGAGCGUUAAUCGGAAUUACUGGGCGUAAAAGGCACGCAGGCGGUUAAUUAAGUUGGAUGUGAAAUCCCCGGGCUUAACCUGGGAAUGGCAUUCAAGACUGGUUAGCUAGAGUCUUGUAGAGGGGGUAGAAUUCCAUGUGUAGCGGUGAAAUGCGUAGAGAUGUGGAGGAAUACCGGUGGCGAAGGCGGCCCCUGGACAAAGACUGACGCUCAUGUGCGAAAGCGUGGGGAGCAAAC
This 439-nucleotide ribosomal RNA is filed under the name uncultured bacterium. RNAcentral describes it as "bacterial SSU rRNA". It matches the Rfam family "Bacterial small subunit ribosomal RNA", at positions 340 to 773 of the family's 1533-position model. The record is from RNAcentral.